Molecule: long non-coding RNA, 915 nt
Filed under: Musa acuminata (dwarf banana)
Lineage: Eukaryota; Viridiplantae; Streptophyta; Magnoliopsida; Zingiberales; Musaceae
Description: long non-coding RNA (MACU_LNC008338)
Source: RNAcentral
GUUAGGAUCGAGAGCACUAAGAGGGGGGGGUGAAUUAGUGCAGCGGAAAUCUUACAACGAUUAAAAACGAAAGCUGCGUUCGUUCGAUAAAAAAGAAUUAUUAUGAUGCAAAAGCCGAUUCACAGUUUGUAUCUAAGUGCAAUUUGCGCAGUUUGCGUCUAAAUGCAGUUUUGCGUCUAAAUGCAGUUUGCGUCUAAACGCAGAUUGCGUCUAAGCGUAGUUUGUGUCUAAACACAGUUUACGUCUAAACACUAUUUGCGUCUAAGCGCAGUUUGCGUCUAAACACAGAUUGCGUCUAAGCGCAGUUUACGUCUAAACGCAGUUUGCGUCUAAACGCAGUUGGCGUCUAAGCGCAGUUUGAAGUCUUGAGCGCAGUUUACGUCUAAACGCAGUUUGCGUCUAAACACAGUUUACGUCUAAACACAGUUUACGUCUAAACGCAGUUUGCGUCUAAACGCGGUUGGCGUCUAAGCGCAAAUGACAGUUUGUAGUUAUAAAUGGAAUCAAGACGUAAAUGUAAACUGCACAGAAACUCGUUCGUAAAAGCACAGAAGACAAUUUGCAGUUAUAAAUGAAAUCAAGACGUAAACGUAAACUGCACAAAAACUCGUUCGUAAAAGCGUAGAAGAUAGUUCGCAGUUAUAAACAGAUUCAAGACGUAAAUGUAAGCUGCAAUGUAAAGAUCGUACGAAAACACCUUUUUACGUCUGAAUGCAGAUUUGGAAAGAUUAGAACUUAGAAACUUGUUCGUAAAAGCGCAGAGAGCAGUAGCUAUGUAGGAGGUUUGCAGUAACGAUAAAGUGCUCAAAAUAAACGCAAACCAGAGAUUUAGAGUGGUUCGGUCAGUCUUGACCUACUCCACUUUUGGCUUCCUCCACCGGCGAGGUCACCGACGUCAACUACAGGCCUUCCUUC